UCCUCUGCAAGAGCAGCCAGUGCUCUUAACUGCUGAGCUAUCUCUCUAACCCCUGCUCCUGAGGCUUUUGCAGAGGGAAUUACAUUCUAAAGAAAGCCACUGUGUGAUAUGUUAAUAAAAAGAAGAAAUAAACCAAAGACUCCUUGUUAGCUUUCUCGCUGACUAUCUGAGAUGGAAAACCAACAUAAUAUUUAACUUGGAGAAGCAAGCAGUAUCAUAGAAAGGACACCCAAACCCAGUUCAGCCCCUUUUGUCUACCCUGCCAUGAAAGUACCACUGAACCCAGCACCCCAAUGCACACGCAGUCGGCGGGAGUGAGGACCGAACUUCCGAUCUCACGUAUUCAAGGCAAGCACUGUGCCACUGGUUCACAUUCCCGGACCACCCACCACACUUUUGGUUUCCCGAUGAGUUGGUCUUGAACUUGCUGCCCUCCUCUCUUCAACCCCUGAAGUUGCAUGUGCCACACCUGUCUCCUUUGUCACUACAUUGAUGGUUAUUAGUUCUCACUUUGAGAAAGCAGCUUCAUGUCUUGCAAGACUUCAAGGUGUAUUUUCAAACAUCCUGCUAGGUGUGAAUUUGCACCUGAGACAGAAUACUGUCAAGAGGGCCGGAAGCAAUAUUCAGUCUGAUCCCAGAGUAUUAAUUAAAGGAGAGUCAAUAAGCAAAGACAGGCAUUUACUUAGAGUUAUUGCUACCAUCUGUCAACUUCUUACUUUGAAUGGAUUUCAUGGAUUAUUCAAAGAACUAGGAAAUAUGCUGGGGAGGCGGGGUGUAGAUAGUUACAUGGCCAAAACACUGAUCUCCUUUGUGUGUGUACGUGGUGGUGGUGGGAGCUGUCUGCUGAUAGAGAAGAAGAGACGCAAAGAACAAAGGAAAUGCUCUUUAAUUAAUCCUACCAGCUAAGCAAAAAUAAAUAGAACACUUGUUUCAGCAACAGCAGCAAACAGUUGACAACUGAGCGGAACCACCUGCAAGAGGCUGAGCACAGGCUGCCCAGAGAUCCCAAAUACUUUGUCCCGCACAGGGGUGGACAGUGUUCCGGGUAGGAUCAGAGUGGAAACAUGUUGAGCUGUGAGGCCGUACAGUCUCUGUUGCAGCUACACUCUGCGGCUGGGGCACAGAAGGGGCCAAAAACAACCCAGUAGACUGGAAUGCAGGGGUUGGUUACAAUAAAAAAUUAUCCAUACUAAAACGAGAUUUUAACUAAAAUGAAAUUUUCAUAUGAAAUUUCAUUUUUAUGCCAUAGAAUAU
Long non-coding RNA from Onychomys torridus (southern grasshopper mouse), 1254 nucleotides. RefSeq lists it as uncharacterized. The record is from RefSeq and is a predicted model, not a curated record. The transcript has 3 exons. NCBI's taxonomy places the organism in Eukaryota, Metazoa, Chordata, Mammalia, Rodentia, Cricetidae.